UUGAACGCUGGCGGCAUGCCUUACACAUGCAAGUCGAACGGUAGAGGGGCAACCCUUGAGAGUGGCGAACGGGUGAGUAAUAUAUCGGAACGUGCCCAGUCGUGGGGGAUAACGCAGCGAAAGCUGCGCUAAUACCGCAUACGAUCUAUGGAUGAAAGCGGGGGAUCGCAAGACCUCGCGCGAUUGGAGCGGCCGAUAUCAGAUUAGGUAGUUGGUGGGUAAAGCCCACCAAGCCGACGAUCUGUAGCUG
Molecule: ribosomal RNA, 250 nt
Filed under: uncultured bacterium
Lineage: Bacteria
Description: partial 16S ribosomal RNA
Rfam family: Bacterial small subunit ribosomal RNA
Source: RNAcentral